RNAcentral lists this ribosomal RNA (426 nucleotides) under uncultured bacterium. RNAcentral's name for it is "partial 16S ribosomal RNA". It matches the Rfam family "Bacterial small subunit ribosomal RNA", at positions 354 to 796 of the family's 1533-position model. The record is from RNAcentral.
GUGAGGAAUUUUCCGGAAUGGGCGAAAGCCUGACGGAGCAAUGCCGCGUGAAGGAUGAAGGCCUAUGGGUUGUAAACUUCUUUUCUCAGAAAAGAAUUAUGACGGUAUCUGAGGAAUAAGCAUCGGCUAACUCUGUGCCAGCAGCCGCGGUAAGACAGAGGAUGCAAGCGUUAUCCGGAAUGAUUGGGCGUAAAGCGUCUGUAGGUUGUUUAAAAAGUAUUCUGUCAAAGAUUAGGGCUUAACCCUAGAUAGGCAGAAUAAACUUUUAAGCUAGAGUUUGGUAGAGGCAGAGGGAAUUCCCGGUGGAGCGGUGAAAUGCGUAGAUAUCGGGAGGAACACCAAAGGCGAAGGCACUCUGCUGGGCCAAUACUAACACUGAGAGACGAAAGCGAGGGGAGCAAAUGGGAUUAGAAACCCCAGUAGUCC